This is a long non-coding RNA of Oxyura jamaicensis (ruddy duck), 1035 nucleotides long. RefSeq lists it as uncharacterized. The record is from RefSeq and is a predicted model, not a curated record. The transcript has 4 exons. NCBI's taxonomy places the organism in Eukaryota, Metazoa, Chordata, Aves, Anseriformes, Anatidae.
ACCAUUGCUGAGGUUCAGUGGCUUAAAGAUCUUCCAGUGGCACCAAGCUAAAAAUAAAUAGCUGCCUCACUGUGACUCUGGUGCAUUGAAAUGGAAUGGAUAUUCAAAGACAAGCAGAAACAGAAAAUGGGGAAAGUUGUAAGAUGGGAUUUUGCUCAUUUGCCAGGGAUCAGCUUUCUAUGCCUGAAUGCAGAUGGUCACCUGGUCAUAGAAGGAGAUGAAGUUGGUCAGGCAGGACUUGCCUUUCACGAACGCAUGCUGUCUGGGCCUAAUCCUCAGGUUGACCUGCACAUGCUGUGUGAUUGCAUUCAAGAUGACCUGUUCCAUCACCUUCCCUGGCACUGAGGUAAGCUGGAAACCCAACACAUCUCUGUGAUUUUAGGCAAUAAAGCCUGCAGUUUUAACUAACACAUCAAAGGACAUUCAUAUAAAUAAAAGACUAAAUCAAAACAGCAAGUUUUGUAUGCAGUCCCAUUUGAUUGACUGAUGAUGUUAUGCAGCAGGUAGCACAAGUCUGUGUUAAAGCACUAGGCAGUGUGAUUAAUUACCCUGCUUAUUGAUAUGUUGAGGCCAGUUCCUGCUUGUGAGCUUUUUAUGAGCUUUUUGGAAGAUCUAUUGUAACUGCUAAGAUUGGAAGGGAAGAUAGCAUGUCUUUUCCUUUACCAUCUGUGCUUGCAUCUUGCCGUGACUGACAAAUUUAACUGUUGCUGGAUGUUACUGCUGUUGUGUGUUGAUGAUAAUGCUGCUGGCUUGCUGCCCUAGCCUGGCAUCUUCUGCCAGUUUUAGAGGCUUCUGGAUGGUAUUUGUGUGGAUUUUACAGCUUUGCCAUUGCUUGAAUUCUUUAAGAUGUCAUUAAUCAUGUAAUUGUGAACUUAAGUGAGGGUUAGAUUCAGCAAAAGUCUGGAUACUCUGGCCCUGAUGAGGUGAAGAAGUUAGUUUAACUCAAAUUUCAACAAAACUUGUAUGUAUCACUGAAACAUAGAAGCACAGAAUGUUUGUGUUGGAAGGGACCUUAAAGACCGUUAGUUCCACGCC